CGCCCCGUGAGCCGUGCCACCUAUUUUUGAGUUUCUCUUGCGUGUAUCUCCUCCGUCUGAAUUUUGUUUGGACUAUUUUUGGGCUCGUUGGACUUCGUUCGUCGUCCUGAACCUUGCUGUAGGCUCCUUAUGGAUCGAAUUUUGAGGCAUCAAAUCUCAACAAUCUCUAUCUCGACUCGACAUUCGAUCUCCACCUAACUUUGAAAGUUUUUAGAUCUCCUCGCUCCUAUG
This 231-nucleotide long non-coding RNA is filed under the name Elaeis guineensis (African oil palm). RNAcentral describes it as "long non-coding RNA (EGUI_LNC003516)". The record is from RNAcentral. Lineage: Eukaryota; Viridiplantae; Streptophyta; Magnoliopsida; Arecales; Arecaceae.